RNAcentral lists this ribosomal RNA (802 nucleotides) under uncultured bacterium. Its description in RNAcentral is "partial 16S ribosomal RNA". It matches the Rfam family "Bacterial small subunit ribosomal RNA", at positions 12 to 811 of the family's 1533-position model. The record is from RNAcentral.
UUUGAUCAUGGCUCAGAUUGAACGCUGGCGGCAUGCCUUACACAUGCAAGUCGAACGGUAACAGGUCUUCGGAUGCUGACGAGUGGCGAACGGGUGAGUAAUACAUCGGAACGUGCCCGAUCGUGGGGGAUAACGCAGCGAAAGGUGUGCUAAUACCGCAUACGAUCUACGGAUGAAAGCGGGGGAUCGCAAGACCUCGCGCGGACGGAGCGGCCGAUGGCAGAUUAGGUAGUUGGUGGGAUAAAGGCUCACCAAGGCGACGAUCUGUAGCGGGUCUGAGAGGAUGAUCCGCCACACUGGAACUGAGACACGGUCCAGACUCCUGCGGGAGGCAGCAGUGGGGAAUUUUGGACAAUGGGGGCAACCCUGAUCCAGCCAUGCCGCGUGAGUGAAGAAGGCCUUCGGGUUGUAAAGCUCUUUCGGCCGGGAAGAAAUCGUGUGGGCUAAUACCUCACAUGGAUGACGGUACCGGAAUAAGAAGCACCGGCUAACUACGUGCCAGCAGCCGCGGUAAUACGUAGGGUGCGAGCGUUAAUCGGAAUUACUGGGCGUAAAGCGUGCGCAGGCGGUUUAGUAAGACAGGCGUGAAAUCCCCGGGCUCAACCUGGGAACUGCGCUUGUGACUGCUAAGCUAGAGUACGGCAGAGGGGGGUGGAAUUCCAGGUGUAGUGGUGAAAUACGUAGAUAUCUGGAAGAACACCAGUUGCGAAGGCGGUCUCUUGGUCCGAUACUGACGCUGAGGCGCGAAAGCGUGGGGAGCAAACAGGAUUAGAUACCCUGGUAGUCCACGCUGUAAACGAUG